UACGUAGGGUGCGAGCGUUGUCCGGAAUUAUUGGGCGUAAAGAGCUCGUAGGCGGUGUGUCACGUCGGCCGUGAAAACCUGGGGCUCAACUCUGGGCGUGCGGUCGAUACGGGCAUCACUAGAGUUCGGCAGGGGAGACUGGAAUUCCUGGUGUAGCGGUGAAAUGCGCAGAUAUCAGGAGGAACACCGGUGGCGAAGGCGGAUCUCUGGGCCUUACCUGACGCUCAGGCACGAAAGCUAGGGGAGCGAACAGG
This 254-nucleotide ribosomal RNA is filed under the name uncultured bacterium. Its description in RNAcentral is "partial 16S ribosomal RNA". It matches the Rfam family "Bacterial small subunit ribosomal RNA", at positions 524 to 776 of the family's 1533-position model. The record is from RNAcentral.